AAGACUGGCGGCUGCUAUACAUGCAAGUCGAGCGGACAGAUGGGAGCUUGCUCCCUGAUGUUAGCGGCGGACGGGUGAGUAACACGUGGGUAACCUGCCUGUAAGACUGGGAUAACUCCGGGAAACCGGGGCUAAUACCGGAUGGUUGUUUGAACCGCAUGGUUCAAACAUAAAAGGUGGCUUCGGCUACCACUUACAGAUGGACCCGCGGCGCAUUAGCUAGUUGGUGAGGUAACGGCUCACCAAGGCAACGAUGCGUAGCCGACCUGAGAGGGUGAUCGGCCACACUGGGACUGAGACACGGCCCAGACUCCUACGGGAGGCAGCAGUAGGGAAUCUUCCGCAAUGGACGAAAGUCUGACGGAGCAACGCCGCGUGAGUGAUGAAGGUUUUCGGAUCGUAAAGCUCUGUUGUUAGGGAAGAACAAGUACCGUUCGAAUAGGGCGGUACCUUGACGGUACCUAACCAGAAAGCCACGGCUAACUACGUGCCAGCAGCCGCGGUAAUACGUAGGUGGCAAGCGUUGUCCGGAAUUAUUGGGCGUAAAGGGCUCGCAGGCGGUUUCUUAAGUCUGAUGUGAAAGCCCCCGGCUCAACCGGGGAGGGUCAUUGGAAACUGGGGAACUUGAGUGCAGAAGAGGAGAGUGGAAUUCCACGUGUAGCGGUGAAAUGCGUAGAGAUGUGGAGGAACACCAGUGGCGAAGGCGACUCUCUGGUCUGUAACUGACGCUGACGAGCGAUAGCGUGGGGAGCGUACAGGAUUACAUACGCUGGUAGUCCACGCCGUAAACGAUGACUGCUAAGUGUUAGGGGGUUUCCGCCCCUUAGUGCUGCAGCUAACGCAUUAAGCACUCCGCCUGGGG
RNAcentral lists this ribosomal RNA (862 nucleotides) under Bacillus subtilis. RNAcentral describes it as "bacterial SSU rRNA". It matches the Rfam family "Bacterial small subunit ribosomal RNA", at positions 32 to 878 of the family's 1533-position model. The record is from RNAcentral. Lineage: Bacteria; Bacillati; Bacillota; Bacilli; Caryophanales; Bacillaceae.